This 2497-nucleotide ribosomal RNA is filed under the name Wildemania schizophylla. Its description in RNAcentral is "large subunit ribosomal RNA". It matches the Rfam family "Bacterial large subunit ribosomal RNA". Lineage: Eukaryota; Rhodophyta; Bangiophyceae; Bangiales; Bangiaceae. The record is from RNAcentral.
CUGUUCUUAAAUAUGAAUGAUUACAAAAGUUAGCAGAGGAAAUCUUGAUAGAAAAAAAAGGCGUCGCGCGACGAAACAUCAUAGCGAGGCACAUGCUUAUAAACUAUGGGUCCCUUUAAGAAAACUUGCAUUUAAUUUGUGAACAAACAACUAUGUGAAUUGAAUCAUCUUAGUAACAUAGUAAAAAAAAUCAAACGAGAAUUCGUAAGUAACGGUGAGUGAAAGCGAACUUAGCCAGGUGUUAAAACCCGAAGAAGGUUCUAAGUCCUAUCUAACCCGAAUAAGAAUCUGUAGUAGUACGAAUCUUUUUUUGUACGAAAAAAAGGAGUACCAUCUUCUUAGCUAAAAUUUUUUCUAAUCGAUAGUGAACGAGUACCGUGAGGGAAAGAUUUGAAUCUGCUAAUUUAUAUUUAUUUGAAGCCGACAAAUACGGCAACAAAGUGCCUUUUGCAUAAUGAGUCAGCAAGUUAAUAUAUGUAGCAAGCUUAAACAAAAACUUAAGGCUUUUUCUAGUUACAUGUAUUAGACCCGAAGCCGAGUGAUCUAGUCUGGAGCAAGUUGAAGGUACCUUAAAAAGUAUUGGAGGACUGCACCCACGUCUGUUGAAAAAUACGGGGAUGACUCCUGAUUAGGGGUGAAAGUCCAAUCAAACUCGGUGAUAGCUGGUUUUCCGCGAAAACUAUCAAAGUAGUACGUUAUAAAAUAAAAAUGUGGGUAGAGCUACUAAUUAAACUUAGACUUUGCUAAGUUUUAUUAAACUCCAAAUCAUAUUUUGAUUAAAAAUAGCAGACAGUCGUUGGGCGAUAAGGUCCUACGUCAAAAGGGAAACAACCCUAAUCGAUAGCUAAGAUCUCCAAAUUAUAAAUUAGUGAAAAAAUAAAAAAUAAUUCGAAUAAACAGAGUAGGCUUAGAAGCAGCCAUCUAUUGGAGAAAGCGUUUUAGCUCAUUAUUUCGUAUUUAUUACUUUUAUUUAAAAUGUAAAGAGUCUUCAAUUUAUAUAUCGAAGCUUCGAAUUAAGCUAAAAAUAGCUUAGUGGUAGCGGAACGUCCUGUAGUCUUUUAUGUUAAUGGUAAAUUGCAUAUGAAAAAUCAGGAGUGCUAAUGCUGACAUGAGUAGCGUUAACCAUGUUGAAAAUAAAUCAUGGUCGUCUAUUGUUCAAGGGUUUCCAGUAAAUUUUAAGUAACUGGAUUUAGUCGACCCUUAAGAAAAAAGUGAAAACUGUAUUCGAUAGGAAAAAAUUAACCACAUAUAUGCAAAAUACCCUUGUAUUUGUGAAAAAAAUAGUUUUUUUACUAAUAUAUUUCACUAAACUGCUAAUAUUAGUUUAACUAUUUUUCAGGAAAAAAUUAUAUGCUGUUUGACCGUACCUAAAACCGACACAGGUGAACUUGUUAAGAAAAUAAAGACGAAUGAGAUAACUAUAUUUAAGGAACUCGGCAAAUUUACUCUCUACGUUAGCAAAAAAGAGUACCUUAAAAGGUGUCAAAAAUUGGGGGUAGCGACUGUUUAACAAAAAAAUCUUAAAACUUUGCAAAUUCGAAAGAAGAAGUAUAAGGUUUGACGCCUGCCCAGUGCUUGAAAAUGAAAAGGUAUAUGUUUACGCAUGUAUUAUAAAUCCGAGUAAACGGCGGUCUUAACUAUAAGGAUCCUCAGGUAGCGAAAUUCCUUGGCGGGUAAAUUCCGUCCUGCAUGAAUGGCGUCACGACUACCCCACUGUCUCUAAUAUAGUCUCAGCGAAAUUACAUUGUCUGUGAAAAUGCAGACUCCCUGCAACAAGACGGAAAGACCCUAUGAUUCUUUACUAUAAUUUUACGUCGUAAUAAUCUGGCUCACAGUACAGUAAAAGUAGAAGUAUAUUUAUACAUCACUGAAAAACUACUCUCUGGACAAGAAAUUACUUACUAAACAGGAAAUACGUAAAACUGGUAGUUUACUUGGGACGAGGACCUCCUAAAGUGUAACGGAGGUGCGCAAAAGUAUAUUUUAAUUAACAAUUUUUGUUAAUAUAAAACGUAAUGGUAAAAAUUUGCUUAACGGUAAGACUUACCAGUCAAGCCGAGACGAAAGUCGGCCAUAAUGAUCCGGCAGUAACGUAUGGAAGUACUGUCGCUUAUCGGAAAAAAGAAACUCUAGGGAUAACAGAUUUAUCAUGGUUGAGAGUUCUUAUCGAUGCCAUGGUUUGAUACCUCGAUGUCGGCCUAUCUGUUGUGGGAGAGAAAAGAAAAAAGAUUAUCUUUAGUACGAGAGGAUUGAGAUAUAUUAACCAAUAGUGUAUCGGUUGCAACGUUUCUUGCAGUGCCGAGUAGCCACGUUAACACUAUAUAAGCGCUGACAGCUUAUAAGCGCAAAAAUAACUUUUACCUUUUCAUGAACAUUCUAGAAGAUUAUUAGAUAGAUCGGUUUAAUAUAUAAUACUUGUAAAAGUAAGUAAAUAAAUACGAAAUGUUCAUUAUACUUUAUUAUUAUAUUUAAGAACGGGUAAUCCCGUUCUUAAAUA